This 89-nucleotide microRNA precursor is filed under the name Camelus ferus (Wild Bactrian camel). RNAcentral describes it as "mir-759 microRNA precursor family". It matches the Rfam family "mir-759 microRNA precursor family". The record is from Rfam by way of RNAcentral. Lineage: Eukaryota; Metazoa; Chordata; Mammalia; Artiodactyla; Camelidae.
AAUAAAUUAAAUGCCUAAACUGGCAGACUGCAAACAAUUUUGACUCAGAUCUAAAUGUUUGCACUGGCUAUUUAAACAUUUAAUUUGUU